UCCCUGCUCUUUAAUACCUGGUUCAUGUUAUAGUGUCUGCACUUCUAUUGAGGUCUCUGUUUGCCAGUAGUUGCCAUGUCAACGACGACUGGCCUCAGCUUCAGAAAUGACAGCUGAUCAUACUCCACUUUGAAAAGAAUUGAAAUAGUGGAGCCGAUGUCUUUUCAUUUCAACAAGACAAUGCAGUAGAUUGAAAAACUUGAAGGAUAAAAACAGUAUUCUCUCUGUGUAUAACAGGACCUUUCUAAAUUGCAUCUUACAUCUUAAAAAUCUUCAUUCCUUUCUUUCAGUGUCUCUUGUGUUUCUGUCUGACUUUUUUUUUUUCACUUCAUUUAAUCGGUCUCAUUUUCUCUUGUUUACAUUUCCAUGCCUGUGCUUCUUUAUCUUUCCUUUGUUUGUUGUGGAUGAUCAACAGUGGACCUGCCAAAAAAAUGAGUCCACUGGAGCUGCAAACCGACCAAUCACCAGACGCCAAGCGGAGAACCAAGAGCUGUUUUAUGACCCUCAUUGCCUCCUCCUUUUCCUAUCUGUGUGUCUUUGUAUAUGUGUGGGUUUGUUUGUGUGUAUUUGAGCUUGCGUGUGUGUACAGGGUGUUUCCACAUCUGGAGUCUGAGCUGUGUUUUCCUUUGGGUCCAUUCCCAUGCUCUGUGAAAUUUUUUCUCCUCCCUGUUUCUCCAGACUCCCCUCCUCCUCCCUAAGUCACUGUUUCCUGUAAGCGCGAGACAGAAAGUUGGCCUUCUGUGUACGACUGCACGGCCAUGCCCUUUUACGGCUGCAAGAGAUGUGCCAGUGAACCGAGACCAACCUUGCAGAGCUAGGUGGAAGGCGAGAUGAGCAGUGAGGAGGCAGAAUAAGAGGAGGAAGCCUUGAAGAAAGACUGAUUAUUACUUGUGAAAGGAAUGCACCAACGGACGGGAUGAUGUCACCCCGAGUCUGCAGCCUCUUAUUUUACACCCACCAGCCUCGUCGUUCAAGAGCUGAAAUAUAGCAACUUCACCCUGAAAGAGACGACGAAGAGAAGAAACAAAAGAAGGACAGACAGAUGGGAAAAGGUUUGGAAAAAGACAGAAAGAAAGGAUGGAAGGAAGAGAGAGAAAGUGAGAGAGGAAAACACAGAGAAGGUAAGAGAGAGGGAGAGAAAGAAAAAGAGAGACUAAAGAAAAGCAGGAAACAAGUCACAGACUGAGCAGAGCCACAUCUGCUAGCAGUUAAAACGUCACCAGAGAACACAAAAUGCUACGAACACAGCACCUCCCCUCCCCUGUUCACCCUGUGGUGACACGGCUGGGACAAAACUGUCCCCUGUCCCCUAGCACACAUCAAUCCCAUGGGAGAUUUGUCCCACCUCCAUCCAUCACGUCCUCUGUUCUACAUUCAUGUCUUGUCAUCCUUUCCUGUAUAAAAUACACAUUUUGUUACCUCGUACAACUUAGAUUUCUCUCUCUCUCUCUCUGUCCUUCUUGA
Seriola aureovittata is the source of this 1464-nucleotide long non-coding RNA. RefSeq lists it as uncharacterized. NCBI's taxonomy places the organism in Eukaryota, Metazoa, Chordata, Actinopteri, Carangiformes, Carangidae. The record is from RefSeq and is a predicted model, not a curated record. The transcript is spliced from 3 exons.